UACGUAGGUGGCAAGCGUUGUCCGGAUUUAUUGGGCGUAAAGGGGGCGCAGGCGGUUUCUUAAGUCUGAUGUGAAAGCCCACGGCUCAACCGUGGAAGGUCAUUGGAAACUGGGGAACUUGAGUGCAGGAGAGGAAAGUGGAAUUCUCAGUGUAGCGGUGAAAUGCGUAGAUAUUGAGAAGAACACCAGUAGCGAAGGCGGCUUUCUGGACUGUAACUGACACUGAGGCACGAAAGCGUGGGUAGCAAACAGG
Molecule: ribosomal RNA, 253 nt
Filed under: uncultured bacterium
Lineage: Bacteria
Description: partial 16S ribosomal RNA
Rfam family: Bacterial small subunit ribosomal RNA
Source: RNAcentral